CAGCAGCCGCGGUAAUACGUAGGGUGCGAGCGUUAAUCGGAAUUACUGGGCGUAAAGCGUGCGCAGGCGGUUCGUUAAGUCUGUUGUGAAAGCCCCGGGCUCAACCUGGGAAUGGCAAUGGAUACUGGCGAGCUAGAGUGUGUUAGAGGAUGGUGGAAUUCCCGGUGUAGCGGUGAAAUGCGUAGAGAUCGGGAGGAACAUCAGUGGCGAAGGCGGCCAUCUGGGACAACACUGACGCUGAGGCACGAAAGCGUGGGGAGCAAACAGGAUUAGAUACCCCAGUAGUCCCUGUCUCUUAUAC
This 301-nucleotide ribosomal RNA is filed under the name uncultured bacterium. RNAcentral describes it as "partial 16S ribosomal RNA". It matches the Rfam family "Bacterial small subunit ribosomal RNA", at positions 509 to 807 of the family's 1533-position model. The record is from RNAcentral.